GACAGAGGAUGCAAGCGUUAUCCGGAAUGAUUGGGCGUAAAGCGUCUGUAGGUGGCUUUUUAAGUCUGCUGUCAAAUCCCAGGGCUUAACCCUGGACAGGCGGUGGAAACUACCAAGCUGGAGUACGGUAGGGGUAGAGGGAAUUCCCGGUGUAGCGGUGAAAUGCGUAGAGCUCGGGAAGAACAUCGGUGGCGAAAGCGCUCUACUGGACUGCAACUGACGCUGAGGGACGAAAGCUAGGGGAGCGAAUGGG
Molecule: ribosomal RNA, 253 nt
Filed under: uncultured prokaryote
Description: partial 16S ribosomal RNA
Rfam family: Bacterial small subunit ribosomal RNA
Source: RNAcentral